GGGGAGAUAGUGAAGUGGCUAAACACGGCAGACUGUAAAUCUGCUCCCUCCGGGUUCGGCGGUUCGAAUCCGUCUCUCCCCACCA
RNAcentral lists this transfer RNA (85 nucleotides) under Escherichia coli. RNAcentral's name for it is "tRNA-Tyr". It matches the Rfam family "tRNA". From Rfam's summary of the family: Transfer RNA (tRNA) molecules are approximately 80 nucleotides in length. Their secondary structure includes four short double-helical elements and three loops (D, anti-codon, and T loops). Lineage: Bacteria; Pseudomonadati; Pseudomonadota; Gammaproteobacteria; Enterobacterales; Enterobacteriaceae. RNAcentral also lists the same sequence under 56 other names. The record is from RNAcentral.